RNAcentral lists this ribosomal RNA (253 nucleotides) under uncultured bacterium. Its description in RNAcentral is "partial 16S ribosomal RNA". It matches the Rfam family "Bacterial small subunit ribosomal RNA", at positions 524 to 776 of the family's 1533-position model. The record is from RNAcentral.
UACGUAGGGUGCUAGCGUUGUUCGGAAUCAUUGGGCGUAAAGCGCGUGUAGGUGGUUAUGUAUGUCGGAUGUGAAAUCCCUGGGCUCAACCGAGGAAGUGCAUUCGAAACUGCAUAGCUAGAGGACGGUAGAGGAAGGUGGAAUUCCUAGUGUAGAGGUGAAAUUCGUAGAUAUUAGGAGGAAUACCGGCGGCGAAGGCGGCCUUCUGGGCCGGUCCUGACACUGAGACGCGAAAGCGUGGGUAGCAAACAGG